Molecule: ribosomal RNA, 404 nt
Filed under: uncultured bacterium
Lineage: Bacteria
Description: partial 16S ribosomal RNA
Rfam family: Bacterial small subunit ribosomal RNA
Source: RNAcentral
GACGAACGCUGGCGGCGUGCCUAAUACAUGCAAGUCGAACGCAGUGGGGACGGGUGAGUAACACGUGGGUAACCUCCCCAUCAGAGGGGAUAACACUUGGAAACCGGUGCUAAACCGAUACUGAUGGAUGGACCCGCGGUGCAUUAGCUAGUUGGUGAGGUAACGGCGCACCAAGGCAACGAUGCAUAGCCGGCCUGAGAGGGUGAGCGGCCACACUGGAACUGAGAAACGGCCCAGACGCCUACGGGAGGCAGCAGUAGGGAAUAGUGGGCAAUGGGCGAAAGUCUGACCGAGCAAUGCCGCGUGAGUGAAGAAGGGUUUCGGAUCGUAAAACUCUGUUGUUAGAGAAGCGGUAUCUAACCAGAAAGCCACGGCUAACUACGUGCCAGCAGCCGCGGUAAUAC